UGAGUACGAGAUGCUACGGCAUCGAAGCAGUCUAUGUCAUACUUCCAAGAAAAGCUUGCACUGUCAUAAACAAAGAAUGCCUGUACCAUAACCGACACAGGUGGGUAGGUAGAGUAUACUAAGGGGCGCGAGAUAACUCUCUCUAAGGAACUCGGCAAAAUGACUCCGUAACUUCGGGAGAAGGAGUGCCUUAUUUCUAAGGUUGCAAUAACAAGAUCCAAGCAACUGUUUACCAAAAACACAGGUCUCCGCUAAGUCGUAAGACGAUGUAUGGGGGCUGACGCCUGCCCAGUGCCAGAAGGUUAAAGAAGUUGGUUAGCAUUAGCGAAGCUGAUAACUGAAGCCCUGGUGAACGGCGGCCGUAACAAUAACGGUCCUAAGGUAGCGAAAUUCCUUGUCGGGUAAGUUCCGACCCGCACGAAAGGCGUAAUGAUUUGGAUACUGUCUCGGAGAGGGGCUCGGUGAAAUAGACUUGUCUGUGAAGAUGCGGACUACCUGCACCUGGACAGAAAGACCCUAUGAAGCUUUACUAUACCCUGAUAUUGGAUUUUGGUAUGAUAUGUGUAGGAUAGGUGGGAGGCUUUGAAGCUUGGACGCUAGUUCAGGUGGAGCCAUCGGUGAAAUACCACUCUUAUUAUAUUAGGAUUCUAACCUCAUGCCGUUAUCCGGCAGAGAGACAGUGUCAGGCGGGUAGUUUGACUGGGGCGGUUUCCUCCUAAAGAGUAACGGAGGAGUUCAAAGGCAUCCUCAGCACGGUCGGCAAUCGUGCGUUAGAGUGUAAAGGCAUAUGGAUGCUUAACUGUGAGACCUACAAGUCGAGCAGGUGUGAAAGCAGGACUUAGUGAUCCGGUGGUUUAAUGUGGAAUUGCCAUCGCUCAACGGAUAAAAGGUACUCCGGGGAUAACAGGCUUAUCGCGCCCAAGAGUUCAUAUCGACGGCGCGGUUUGGCACCUCGAUGUCGACUCAUCACAUCCUGGGGCUGGAGAAGGUCCCAAGGGUUCGGCUGUUCGCCGAUUAAAGUGGUACGCGAGUUGGGUUUAGAACGUCGUGAGACAGUUCGGUCCCUAUCUUCUGUGGGCGUAGGAUAUUUGAGGAGAUUCAUCCUUAGUACGAGGGGACCGGGAUGGACGUACCUCUGGUGUACCAGUUAUGUCGCCCGAUGUAUUGCUGGGUAGCUACGUACGGAAAGGAUAAGCGCUGAAGGCAUCUAAGCGCCAAGCCCCCUCCGAGAUAAGAUAUCCCUCAGCUUUAGCUGACUAAAGACCCCUUGUAGACUACGAGGUUGAUAGGUCGGCGGUGUAAGCACAGUAAUGUGUUUAGCUAACCGAUACUAAUAGGUCGUGAGGCUUGAUCC
This 1354-nucleotide ribosomal RNA is filed under the name metagenome. RNAcentral describes it as "bacterial LSU rRNA". It matches the Rfam family "Bacterial large subunit ribosomal RNA", at positions 1564 to 2925 of the family's 2925-position model. The record is from RNAcentral.